GCCUGGCACAGUGGCGCUUGCCUGUAGUCCCAGCUACUCAGGAGGCUGAGGCUGGAGGAUCGCUUGAGCCCAGGAGUUCUGGGCUGUAGUGGGCUAUGCCGAUCAGGUGUCUGCACUAAGUUCAGCAUCAUUAUGGUGGCCUCCCGGGGGCAGGGGACCACCAGGUUGCCUAAGGAGGGGUGAAUUGGCCCAAGUCGGAAAUGGAGCAGGUCAAAACUCCCAUGCUGAUCAUAGUGGGAUUGCACCUGUGAAUAGCCACUGCACUCCAGCCUGGGCAACAAAGCGAGACUCCAUCUCU
RNAcentral lists this signal recognition particle RNA (298 nucleotides) under Cebus imitator (Panamanian white-faced capuchin). RNAcentral describes it as "Metazoan signal recognition particle RNA (ENSCCAG00000014092.1)". It matches the Rfam family "Metazoan signal recognition particle RNA". From Rfam's summary of the family: The signal recognition particle (SRP) is a universally conserved ribonucleoprotein. It is involved in the co-translational targeting of proteins to membranes. Lineage: Eukaryota; Metazoa; Chordata; Mammalia; Primates; Cebidae. The record is from RNAcentral.